GGUUCAAUCCCUGAUAUAAAAAAAAAAUAGAAAAUAAAAUAGGAAGAAAGCUUUCUGAACAUUGAUAACACUAUUUCCAAAACGGUUAUGUGAAAAAGGGGAUGGUGCAGAGCACAGUCCCGCCUACUGUGUGUGGGUGGACAUUACAUUACCCGAGUGCCUAUAUAAGGGACUUGCAAGGGUAUUUCAAAAUGAUGGGCCUGGUGAGCCUGGGAGGGGCGCUGAGGGCUUGGGGAGCAGAAACUGGGGUGUUUGACUUCGCUGUGGAUCAGGGACUGGGAACCUUUACUGUAAAGGACCAGAGAGUUGGUCUCAUGGCUCCUCAGGCCACCUGACCUCUGUGGAAAUCAGUUACCUCGUUGCUGCAGCACAAAGGAGCCAGGGACCAGUGAGUGGGUGGGCAUGGCCACGUGCCAACUAAACUCUGCAACGGGCGCUGGCAUUUGAAUGUCCUGUCCUGAAAGAUUCUCCUGCCAAUCAUUUAAAAACAAGCGCUUGUGGCCACAGCAAAACCAGUGGGCUGGAUUUGGCCCAUUGUCGCCCGCUGACCCUUGCUGUGGCCUGUUUUGUGUUCACAUUCUUGUGUGGAGGGGGUACUGGGGUCUAACACAGGGGUGCUCUACCACUGAGCUACACCCAUGGCCCUUUAGAUUUUUUUUUUUUAAUUUUGAGACAGGGUUUUGAUUUCUGAAGCUAAAUUGCCAAGGCUGUGAUCCUCCUGCUUCAGCCUCCCGAGUGCCUGGGAUUUUGGGUGUGCACCAUUCUGCUUAGAUGGCUCAUUUUCUUUCAAAUAAUACGUUAUUUUUUAGGACCCAGAGACACCCCACCACUUAUCUACAUCUCCUGCCCUUUUUAACUUGAGGCCGAGUCUUAUUAAGUUGCCCAGGCUCGUUUGGAGCUUGCCGUCCUCCUGCCUCAGCCUCUGGAGUCCCUGGGAUUACAGGUUUACCCAAAGGGGUUGGGGUCAAACGGUGGACAGGAGCCUGCGGUGUGUGCCUAGACCCCUCUGAAGAGAAGCCAGCACAGACCUGGACGCUUGGGAACCAGUGUUUGCCCUGCAUGUCACCUACCCUGCUCCACCACCAGAUGGCAACAUAUGCUCACCUAAAGCUGGCGCCCAGGUUGGGUGGCUGUCCCAGAUAGCCCAUGACACCUAUUUUGCUUGGCCCGCAUUGUUUUUUUUGUUUUAAACUCAGGGGCGCUUAACCACUGAGCCGCAUCCCCAGCGCUCUUUGUUUUGAGACAGGGCCUCACUGAGUUGCUUAGGGCCUUGCUAAGUGGCUGAGGCUGGCUUUGAACUUGCGGUCUUUCUGCCUCAGCCUCCCAACUCCCUGAGAUUACAGGUGAGUGCCAACGCGCCCGGCUGGCAUCAUGUUUUAAACAUGGAGCCAGCAUUUGAAAAGUCUGGACUGGGGGCUGGGUUGUGGCUCAGCGGUAGAGCGCUCGCCUUGCCCGUGCGAGGCCCUGGGUUCGAUCCUCAGCACGUAAAAAUAAAUAAAUAAAAUAAAGGUGUUGUGUCC
Molecule: long non-coding RNA, 1520 nt
Filed under: Marmota monax (woodchuck)
Lineage: Eukaryota; Metazoa; Chordata; Mammalia; Rodentia; Sciuridae
Source: RNAcentral